GGCCUCCCAAAGUGCUGGGAUUACAGGCGUGAGCCACCGCACCCGGCCACUUCCCUCAUUUUAUAAAAUUGGGGUUGUAACAACACUUACCCACGACGGUACUAAAAGCCUUAAAUGACAUAAAGUAUUUAAAGCAUUUAGCCUAAUACCUAACCUAUAGUAAAGAUUAACUGUUAUUUUUGUUUCCCUUAAGCUUUGGGUAACAACUGGGCGGUGGUCCUGUUAGGAGAUACAAUGUAGCUGUUCCUUGUUGCCUAUUGAAGAGAGCUGAAUGCUUUGGUGGCCAGACAUGGAAGCAGUAUUGCUGACACUUUGUUAUCAAAACCAAGAGGCCUGUCUUAAAUUCUCAUGCGGAUAAGCAGGAGGAGGGGGAAUCACCCAACAUCUGUAGAGAGCUGGACCACAGGGGUAGAAACAGAAUUGUUUAAGACACCAAUACCAAGCUAAAUAGUUAGUGCCACCAGUGAUGAAAUAAAAAUAACCGCAGCCAUUAAGAAAGAACAUUGAAUUCAUGUUUUUGGAUCAUGGGUCUGGAAAACUAUUUAAUGUACAUUUUACCUUGGAAGACAUGACAUAAUUCAAUUUUAUAUGAAUUUUAUAUUGUAUAAUUUAUUUGUUUUCAAAUCUUCAAACAUUGGGUUUUACAGUGUUUCAUAAAGCUACCUUACCAAUCUUACUUGACGACGUAAAACGUACUGAAGGUAUUAUUGACUCUGUUGAAGCGGAGAGAACAAAACGCAGUUUUUACAUAAUGAGAAAGGCGUUUUAAAUGUUUUUCAGACUUCCUUGGCUCCACUACCCUGCUAUGUGUACCUUAUUGAGCAUCCUUCCCUCAAAUAUGCAACCACUCGUUCUAUAGCCAAGUAUCCUGUGGGUAUAGAAGUUGGUCCUCAGCCGCAAGGGGUUCUGAGAGCUGAUAUCUUGGAUCAAAUGAGAAAAAUGAUUAAACAUGCUCUUGAUUUUAUACAUCAUUUCAAUGAAGG
Molecule: long non-coding RNA, 983 nt
Organism: Sapajus apella (tufted capuchin)
Lineage: Eukaryota; Metazoa; Chordata; Mammalia; Primates; Cebidae
Exons: 2
Source: RefSeq, a predicted model, not a curated record